Molecule: long non-coding RNA, 457 nt
Organism: Podarcis raffonei (Aeolian wall lizard)
Lineage: Eukaryota; Metazoa; Chordata; Lepidosauria; Squamata; Lacertidae
Exons: 3
Source: RefSeq, a predicted model, not a curated record
AAAUGAGCCAGCCACUAACAGAAUAAAGCAUGCCCUAUUUUCCCAAGGCAGGAAACUUGUGUCUUUGAUUUGCAUAGGCUUCCUCCUUCCCCUUUAGUUUUCAUUCAUUACUAAGCUCUUUCAGACUUGUUUUCCACGAAUCGGAGACAUUAUCUCUCCACCUGCCUACCUACAGAGGAAGAGGGAACCUUUUAGAGGAUGAUGGAGAAGUUGGUUGUGAAAAUGUGAUUCAUAUGACUAGCAAAGCUUAUGAUUUGCGGCGCUCUGGUUGACAGAGCUGGUUGGUUGCCUUUGUUCCUGUCUGUCAGGGCCAUUGCAACAGCAAGGAGAAUGGGCAAGGUAAAUUUACUUGCAUGGAGACCUAAGGGUAUGCCAGCUGAAAGGAUGCACUGCUCUCUGCACUGAACUACUGCAAAUACACAAGGAGAAUGAGACAAGAAGAAGACAUCAGAAGGCA